GCGCGCGUAGGCGGUUUUUUAAGUCUGAUGUGAAAGCCCACGGCUCAACCGUGGAGGGUCAUUGGAAACUGGAAAACUUGAGUGCAGAAGAGGAAAGUGGAAUUCCAUGUGUAGCGGUGAAAUGCGCAGAGAUAUGGAGGAACACCAGUGGCGAAGGCGACUUUCUGGUCUGUAACUGACGCUGAUGUGCGAAAGCGUGGGGAUCAAACAGGAUUAGAUACCCUGGUAGUCCACGCCGUAAACGAUGAGUGCUAAGUGUUAGGGGGUUUCCGCCCCUUAGUGCUGCAGCUAACGCAUUAAGCACUCCGCCUGGGGAGUACGACCGCAAGGUUGAAACUCAAAGGAAUUGACGGGGACCCGCACAAGCGGUGGAGCAUGUGGUUUAAUUCGAAGCAACGCGAAGAACCUUACCAAAUCUUGACAUCCUUUGACAACUCUAGAGAUAGAGCCUUCCCCUUCGGGGGACAAAGUGACAGGUGGUGCAUGGUUGUCGUCAGCUCGUGUCGUGAGAUGUUGGGUUAAGUCCCGCAACGAGCGCAACCCUUAAGCUUAGUUGCCAUCAUUAAGUUGGGCACUCUAAGUUGAGUGCCGGUGACAAACCGGAGGAAGGUGGGGAUGAUGUCAAAUCAUCCUGCCCCUUAUGAGUGGGGAUACACACGUGCUACAAUGGAGAAUACUCAGGGCAGUGACACCGCGAGGUCUCGCAUAUCCCAUAAAGUUGCUCUCUCUUCAGAGUGGAGUCUGCAUCUCUACGACCUGAACCUCGAUUCGCAUGUAAUCGCACAUCACUAUGCUGCGGUGAAUACGUUCCCUGGUCUUGACACACCGCCCGUGACACCAGGAGAGUUUGUCACACCGAAACAGAGGAGCACGUUUAUGAGCUAACAUCUAAGGUGAGACAUGCAUCGGCUUAUUCUACCCG
Molecule: ribosomal RNA, 922 nt
Filed under: Staphylococcus aureus
Lineage: Bacteria; Bacillati; Bacillota; Bacilli; Caryophanales; Staphylococcaceae
Description: bacterial SSU rRNA
Rfam family: Bacterial small subunit ribosomal RNA
Source: RNAcentral